UGUUGCUUCCUAGAUCCUAGCCUCGAUCCCAGGCCGAGUUUUCGCUUUUAUAACGGUUAGGCGAACAACUGGGCCUGGUACUAGUUGUCUGCGCAUGCGUCAGUCGUUCGUCAGAUUCUGACGAAUGGAUAUUCUCGUUCACUUUCGUGACAUUUAUAUUCGUGUACUAUCGUGUACUAGAAGUCAGUUCCCGUUUUAUCAUUAUUGGAAUCGAUUGGAAUGGCUCUUAGCUGAAGCUUCUCUCUUCUCUGAAGCUUAUUCUGAAGACUGAACAACAAGUGAAGAGGUAUAAAGCUUUGUCAAGCUUGUUAAGGUCAGAUAUUUUUGUGUGGGCCCUAUGGCCGGCUAUGCUAUCAUGUCAAGUCUUGUUCAUGUUUGGCAAGAAUGUAGGUAGACUAUAGUUUCAUCAUUAAUUAAUAUGGUGGAUCAAGUGAAGAGUGUGAGCUAGAGAACUUGGUGCUGCCAUCAUCAGCUCGUCGACAAUGACACUAUAAAACCGAGAAAUUUAAUAUGUAUAUAUAGAUCUACACGUAUUUAAAAUAUCUACUUCUCUGUACAGGAGCAAUGGCUAAUAUCCAGCUAUCCCAACAGUGCUCCUCUUGGCUAUACUAACGGACGAGACUGGACAGUUUGAGACACAGGACUGGAGUAUGACCUGCUCAUUCGAGCGUUGCUGGGUAGCUCAGAGACAUCAAGAGAAUCUACGUUUUCUCAAGCAAUGAGUUACGAGUUGGGGCCUAGAAUCAGAGAAGUCCAGCAGCCUGCUAAAUCUUUUUGAAACGUAAUUUGAAGGCAUUCAAUUAUCCUGAAGUUGCCCUGGGUCACUGUAAUUGUGCUGCAGCACAACUGGCAACUCCCCAGGCCUUUGUGAAGCAGCUCCCUAUGUGCAUCUUUUGUGUACUCACUCUGUGCAUUUUCUGUGUACAAAUUUCUAUUAUUGAUUUAUUAAAUAUUUUUGCCGACCACAAA
Molecule: long non-coding RNA, 969 nt
Organism: Halichondria panicea
Lineage: Eukaryota; Metazoa; Porifera; Demospongiae; Suberitida; Halichondriidae
Exons: 2
Source: RefSeq, a predicted model, not a curated record